Molecule: small nuclear RNA, 107 nt
Organism: Myotis lucifugus (little brown bat)
Lineage: Eukaryota; Metazoa; Chordata; Mammalia; Chiroptera; Vespertilionidae
Source: Ensembl
GUGCUUGCUUCGGCAGCACAUAUACUAAAAUUUGAACGAUAUAGAGAAGAUUAGCAUGGCCCCUGUGCAAGGAUGACACGCAAAUUUGUGAAGCGUUCCAUAUUUUC